Gallus gallus (chicken) is the source of this 2318-nucleotide long non-coding RNA. RefSeq lists it as uncharacterized. NCBI's taxonomy places the organism in Eukaryota, Metazoa, Chordata, Aves, Galliformes, Phasianidae. The record is from RefSeq and is a predicted model, not a curated record. The transcript is spliced from 4 exons.
GACCUGGCAUAGCUUUCACAGAGACUGGUUUGAGGUCAUGCUAAUUCCAGAACUGCAGAGGCAACAGAUGUCAUCACAGGAUUCAAAUGUGCAUCAUGGAGAGAAACUUUCCAUUUUGAUCUUCUGCACUCAGCUCCAAAUAGCCAGUCAAAACUUGGCAUCCUACAGCAAAGAAACACAAUACCACUACAAGAAAACAACAUACUACCCAGUAGAUGAAAGAGGAUUAAGGACUGUAAAUCCAUCUCAGUGGGGAAUGUCUGGCUCAGAUGCUCAGCAACUGAUAGAGAUGCUUUCCCAUGUAGGUCACUGGACUGGGUCUCCUCCAGGUCAGUAGCAGCCAAAGUCCUGUAGGAUUUGGAUGAGAUCCUCUACAGCCACAGCCUCCAGCCCCUAACCAUCCCAAAGGACCGUGCAAGGAGCACAGCUCUGCUUGGGUGGGGUGAAUAAUAGAGCUAGCAAGCAGGAACCGGCAUUGCAAUCCCUUCAGUCAACAGCCCAGUGUGCAAACCAAGGAAGGAUGAGCUGUCUGCAUUAUGCCAGUUGAAUGAUUUAAUGAUCGCAGCCAAACACAUUUGCAACGGAGAAGCCACUGCUGUACUUAGCAAUAUUUUUCCACCUGACUGGCCUACUGAAGAUACUGUUAUGAUGCAGAGUCCUCCAAUUUGUACCACUGGUUGCUGAGCGUCAUAUUUCCAGAAGUUAACAAUCCUCCCAGAUUAAAAAAAGCAAAGGUGCACCGGACUGGAAGGAAGUGUGCAUGGUUCAGCACUCUCCUACUUUAAUCCGCAGCGCCUGGCUGCUGACAAGAUAGACUGUUACAGCUCCUUUAGGGCUCUUCUGCGUGCUUGUGCCAGUUCUUAAUCUAUGGAUCAUUGACAUGAUGGAACAUAACGGGAGCUUCAGAGCCCAUUAUAUUUUCAGUUGUCAAAUUGAACACAGGGAGACUUUCAUCAUCCAACAUUCAGUAUAACGCUACAUACGGACAUCAUCACAAAACCUUUAAUCUUUCAUACCACAAAGGUAUGAAGCACCACUCCACUUUUUUUUUUUUUUUUCUCUUCAAAGUCCAAAUUACCAACUGUAAUGAUGCAAAAUGUUUUCAUUGGAGUCAUUUUUUUUUCUCUUUUCCAAGCUAAAACAUUACAAUUAUAAGACCACCACAGAUUCUGAGUACCAUUUUUGCUGCUUAGCUAUCUGAUUAGAAAACAGUUCUUUAAAAGCUGCUUAAAAUUGCUAAGCACUGUUACAACUUCCUUGACAGAUCUCCCUUCCAAGCGCAUUACUGUUUACAGGUGAAAGGUUAAGAGCUGCAAAGUGGGAAUCAGAAAGGCAGCUCAACAGCGUCCUGUCUAACAUGCAGCUCAGAAGUGCAGUGUCCAAAGCAAUCCAUGCCUACUUGCACCUUAAAAAUUUCAGCUGUGAACUUAAGAGUUUCUCUCCACUGCCUUUCCAUGUAUUACAGUGGAGUGGGUAAAAACUGUCAGCUCUGUGAGAUGAUUGGCAAGCAGAGUUGAUUUAGGACCCAGCAGGUGAUAGCAACAAUAAAUGCUAAAUGUGGUUUUAUUGUCAAAGCAUUGAUGAUCUUGGCUUCUAUCUCGCUAAAGAAAAAUUAAAAAAUAAAAAUUAAAAAAAAAAAAUCUUUCCAGCUUUCCAUUCACUUAAACGAGUUCAAAAGGGGAAGACUGCAGCUUUUCCUUCAGCGGACAGAAGUUGGAAUGGAGAACCUGCAUGGAGGUUAGGAUGAAUAUAAAAACUUAGUGAAAUGAACUUCCACGAUUGCCAGAUACACUUUAUCUUCUUUCUCUUGUGUCUCAGCUUGUUCCUUAAGAUGCCUCAUCCCUGAAGGUGUUCAAGAUCAGAUUGGACAGGACUCUGAGCAGCCUGAUCCAGUGCUUGAUCUAGUGGUUGUCAACCCUGCCCACGUCUGGGACAAGAGGAUCUUUGAGGUCUCCAAGCCAUUCUAUGACUCUACUAUUCUUUGAUUCUGACAGCAUGGAAGGAAGCAUUUUGAGAACCACUCAAAACUAAUCUAAGCCAAUAAUCACCAUGAGGCAGAAUAGCAGGUGUGUGAGAUCUGGCCCAUUUGGCAGGAUGGUAGCCACUACUCCAGUUCACCUGCAAGCAAAUAGUUUAUUUACCCACUUAAUCACAAAAUUCACUGAGGCUCCAAAAGCUCUGGAGCCCAGAUAUAUAUAGUCUGCCUUGUUCUCCUCUAAGAAAUCAGCAUUUCUGCAAGGAAAAGUAGGCAGCAGUUAGUGCUACUAAGGCAAAUGCCAGUAGAAGGCAUAGACUGAGCUAGCAGGGUAUGUAGGGAG